AUAGCGUAUAUUCAAGUUGUUGCAGUUAAAAAGCUCGUAGUUGAACUUCAGAUUUGGUCGGGUGGUCCGCUUAACGGCGUGUUACUGCUUGGCUGGGUCUUGUCUCUUGGUGAACCAUUGUGCCCUUUAUUGGUGUGCUUUGGGGAACCAGGACUUUUACCUUGAGAAAAUUAGAGUGUUCAAAGCAGGCCUAUGCCUGGAUACAUUAGCAUGGAAUAAUAGAAUAGGACGUGUGGUUCUAUUUUGUUGGUUUCUAGAAUUGCCGUAAUGAUUAAUAGGGAUAGUUGGGGGCAUUGGUAUUCAGUCGCUAGAGGUGAAAUUCUUGGAUUGACUGAAGACCGACUAUUG
RNAcentral lists this ribosomal RNA (348 nucleotides) under uncultured eukaryote. RNAcentral's name for it is "SSU rRNA". It matches the Rfam family "Eukaryotic small subunit ribosomal RNA", at positions 594 to 945 of the family's 1831-position model. The record is from RNAcentral.